Molecule: ribosomal RNA, 354 nt
Filed under: Triticum aestivum (bread wheat)
Lineage: Eukaryota; Viridiplantae; Streptophyta; Magnoliopsida; Poales; Poaceae
Description: partial small subunit ribosomal RNA
Source: RNAcentral
AUGUCGUCGCCUGUGCCGAGCUCGGCCUCGCCAGCACAGCCGGCUGCUGUUGUUCUUCGUCCUCGCACAUGCAGCCAGACAUGUGUUUUUCAGCCAAAGAAACACCCUGAUGGGACUAUCGCGUGGCUCGUUGCUUGCAUGGCUCAUAUUGCUGCGGAUCCCACUGCUGAGUCUCGCCAUUUUCAGGUUGCACUGGGUAUUCCUCAUUGGCAUGCCGCGAUGGAACAUGAGUUUCAGGCCCUGCUGCAGAAUGGCACUUGGCAUCUUGUUCCACCAAAGUCUGAUGUUAACAUUAUUGAUUCAAAGUGGGUUUUUAAAGUCAAGGGACAUGCUGAUGGUUCUAUUGCGCGCUAA